Molecule: long non-coding RNA, 1533 nt
Organism: Cyprinus carpio (common carp)
Lineage: Eukaryota; Metazoa; Chordata; Actinopteri; Cypriniformes; Cyprinidae
Source: Ensembl
GAAUGUUUUUCUUGCUGAUCUGUGAAGACCCCAGAAGACUGUAGCGAUCCGUUUUCAUGAACAUGAGGCAUCAGUUCCUGCUAUCUUGGCAAAAGUCCAAGAUGCUAUUGGAUCAGAAGAUGGUAUGAUACUGACUGAUGGCCAGGGGAAUGAAAUUCUCCAUACAGAGGGAACAAAAGAUAACUGCAAAAGAUGAGAUUGACUACAAGCUGUUUUAAAAAAUCUAAGAAAAACACAAUGAAAACAACAGUAAGGUCAGAGAAAUGUAAUACCAGUUGAUAAAAAAAAAGUUCUAUACACCUAAACAAUAUAAAUAUGAUUUUAAAAAUUUGUGAAAUAAAGGGUUUAAUUCACAUAAAAAUAUGAUACACAUUAAAAUGACCUGAAUUUUUCUGACCCUCAAAAAGUUAAAGAAAAAUGAUCAGGUUCCGAUUGAUGAAGCCUUGAUAGAGGGCAAAAAGCACAUUGAAAGCAGCUUGUUUUGGUGUCUGCAUUUUAGAAGUGUUGUUUUCCUAUUAUAAAAUCUUGACAUAAUUCAUCUUUUAAAAUACAAAUGAUUUCCCCAGGAUCAGCUUACUGGAAACAAAAUUCUAGGAAGGUUUUUGCUGUGCCUGAACAACAGUUCUUGGAUAUGAGAUCCAAAAGGAGAAGAUUAAGCCAACGGGAUGAUGACAGCCAGCUACCAGAGGUCUUAGAAAGAACUGAAGAGGUGGUGUUGGCAUCCCAAAAACUGCCAGAGGUUGCACAGGCCAUCAGAGGCUUAUCUGAGCUGACGCUGGCACGCAGACGUUUUAUUACAUUCACGGACGAAGAACGUGCAGCUAUUAAAAAUGCAUUUGCUUGCAUACUUUGCAAAGGGCCCAUGAAUGAUCCUGUUUUUGCAGUUUGCUGUCAGAGUCUCAUUGCAUGCAAAGUGUGCUUUGAGCAGUGGCAGUGAAAUGCCAACACCUGUGUGAAAUGCAGAGGAGACAACUCAAGGGAAAACACCUACAGAGUCCCAGGAAUUGAUGGUGCAUUGUCUGCUUUUGGUGAUCUUAUCAAAGAUUAAAUACAGUGGGAAAGAAAAGCUGUAUACCUGUUACAAGUGUCACACGUUAAGAAGUUUCAUGGCACUACUACGGCAGCUCUUUAUUAGUUACUGGUGUUUGUUACACGUUAAGAGUAAAUAUACUCUUGAAUAUACAGUAAAAAAAGUUAUUACUGUUCAGUUAUUGACUUAAAAGUGAGAAGCACUACAGGCAGCACUUUUUCUGCUUUAAUCAGAGUAAUUAUAUACAUUAUAUACAAUGUAAGUUAUAUACCAAAUAUCACUGUUUAAGUGUCAAGUUCAACUUUUGAAGUAAAAUGCAGCACUGGAUAACACUUUAUUAAAGCUUUAAUGUGACAGUUUUAUACCUCAAAUUACAGCAUUGUUUUAAUACAAUUGAUAAUGCCUAUGUUUAAAAGACUUGCUGUUUAUUUUUGUACUUUGUACAAUUAUUGUACACAGAAAUAUGUAAUAAAUGUUAGUUUUAUGAUGAAUGUCUUGUUCCU